Molecule: ribosomal RNA, 468 nt
Filed under: uncultured bacterium
Lineage: Bacteria
Description: partial 16S ribosomal RNA
Rfam family: Bacterial small subunit ribosomal RNA
Source: RNAcentral
GACGAACGCUGGCGGCGUGCUUAACACAUGCAAGUCGAACGGAAAGGCCCUGCGUUUGUGGGGUGCUCGAGUGGCGAACGGGUGAGUAACACGUGAGUAACCUGCCCUUGACUUUGGGAUAACUUCAGGAAACUGGGGCUAAUACCGGAUAGGAGCUCCUGCUGCAUGGUGGGGGUUGGAAAGUUUCGGCGGUUAGGGAUGGACUCGCGGCUUAUCAGCUUGUUGGUGGGGUAGUGGCUUACCAAGGCUUUGACGGGUAGCCGGCCUGAGAGGGUGACCGGCCACAUUGGGACUGAGAUACGGCCCAGACUCCUACGGGAGGCAGCAGUGGGGAAUAUUGCACAAUGGGCGGAAGCCUGAUGCAGCAACGCCGCGUGCGGGAUGACGGCCUUCGGGUUGUAAACCGCUUUCGCCUGUGACGAAGCGUGAGUGACGGUAAUGGGUAAAGAAGCACCGGCUAACUACGUG